RNAcentral lists this long non-coding RNA (2504 nucleotides) under Marmota monax (woodchuck). Lineage: Eukaryota; Metazoa; Chordata; Mammalia; Rodentia; Sciuridae. The record is from RNAcentral.
AAAAAAAGUCAACAUUAAUCCAAAUAGUAUGGCAUAGAAGUUGCCAGUAGGAAAUUCUAGAUGGAAGUUAAAGCUGUCUCAGACUCCUUGGUUCUUGCCUUGUUCAGAUGGAUUCUGAUUAAUGACAUAUCUUAUUAGAAAUUCACAAACUUAAAUACAUGCAUUUAUUUAAAGAAUAACUAAUAGACACAUAAGAUAGAAUAUGGAGUUAAAAGGAGGGAAAAGCCAGGUAUGGUGGACCUGUAGCUGACCCCCAAGCCCAGUUACAGCCAGAGAUUUUGCAGGAGGCUGAUUCCACCUUCAGCUUCAAGUCUAAACCCAAAUUUGAUUAAGCCAAGCAGUAUCCCAUCCCCUUUCCCAAAAAAUUAUUUCAAGUAUGGGCUUUUGAGCCUAUUAAGGCCAGUAAAUAUGUCUGAUUUUCAUCUGGUGGCAGUUUUGACCCCCAGGGACAUUUGGCAAAGCUUGGAGGCAUUUUGGGUUGUCUCAACCCUAAGGCAGCUGCUGGCAUCUAGUAGGAGGAGGUCAGAGAGGCUGCUAAACACUGGUCAAUGCACAAUUCAACCCCCACAACAAAGAAUUACCCAGCCCAAAAUGUGGAUAAGCUGUGGGUAACCGACUUGCUCUCCUGCAGAGGGUGUGAAUAGGAAGUUUCCAACUUGGACGGCCAUCACUGGCGGUAUCCACCUUGGGAUGAAGCUGAUACUGCAGAGAGCAGCCAGCAGGGUUGGAAAGUACCAGGGUGUGUGAUGCUGCUGCUAAGCCCCAGCCUGUUCUUCCUCUGGGUGCCCAGGGAUGUGAGACUUCCAGUGCGCUGUCAGUUAAGCCGCUGUUUUACUGGCGUCUCUGCUACUUGCAGCUAUGAGCAUCUUGAUAGAUUAAGAAAGAGAGAAAAGAAGAAGAAACAAGAAGGGGUGGGUGGAAAACCACCCAAAACUCCAUCUCCUAAUCUCUAGAAUCCGUGAAUAGGUCCCCUCAUGUGUCAAAGAGGAAUUUUGCAAAUGUGAUUAAAAUAAGGAGCUGGAGAAGUUGUCUGAGUUAUCUGGGUGGGUUCAGUGAAACCUCCAGGAUUCUAUGAGGAAAAGAGGGAGGCAGAAGGUCAGGCAAGCAGAGGAAGGGCCCAAGCUAAGGAAUGCAGGUGACUUCCAGAAGGUAGAAAAGACAAGGGAACAGAUUAUUUUUCCCCCCAGAGCCUCCAGAAAUAAUGCAGCUCUAACAUACCUAAAUUUUAGCCUGCAAGACCCACUCAGACUACUGAUUUCCGGAGCAGUAAGACAAUAGUUGGUAUUAUUUUAAACCAUUAAAUUUGUGGUAAUUUACUAUAGUAAUGAUCCAAAAUGAACACAGCAUGGUAACUAGAAAACACAAGAUAUCGGAAUGAACACCAUUAACUAAAAUUUGUGGGAGGCUGUGGAUUUGGGCUGGAUACCUGCACUGGGCCCAACAGACCAAGUCAAUGUGGAGUUUAAUGGUGGAACCUGAGCUUUGGAUGGUUAAAUGCUAACCAAUUGACUUACUGAUUGACUAAGCUAUAGCCAACUAUUUUUUAUGCACCACUUCCAUUGUUCUGUAAUGACCCUCAGAUGCCAUUGUUGGACUUCUGAGAAUCCACUCUGGUUCUUGGAGCUGCUUAAUUCAUGAGUCAUUUAAUUUUGUUUUUACUUUUGUUUUUGCUCAGAUAAACUCUAUUUGACAUAAAUGGCCUAAGGAAUUGUCCCACCCACUUUAUGGGGGAUUGAACCCAGGGGCACUUUAUCACUGAGCUACAUCCCCAGCCAUUUUUAAUUUAUUUUGAGACAGGGUCUUGCUAAAUUGCACAAGCUAGCAACAAACUUCAGAUCCUCCUGUCUUAACCUCCCAAGUAGCUGGGAUUACAGGUGUGCACCACUCUUACUAGCUCAGGAAUUUUCUCUUUUAAUGGUACAAGCAUUUUGGUAAUUAAAUAUGAAAAGAUUGAAUCCAACUCCUAAAUAACACAUCCUUAUCAGACUGGAUUUUUUAAACACUCCAGCAAUGUGCCAUUCAUGAGAAGUAUACCUAAAAACAAAAAGGUUACAGGGAAACAGAUACCUGUUGUUUCAGUUAACUAUUACGGUGCUAAACCACCAACCCCCAAUUUAAAGACUUACAAUAACAACGAUUUCAUCUGCUCAUGAUCUGCAGGUCAGUAAUUUACCUGCAUUCCGCUGGGCAGGCCCGCCAGGUUCCGCUGAGUUCGCUCAUGGCUGCAGUCAUCUAAGAUGGCCUUACACAGUUGGCACUUGCUCUCAGCCGCCUUCUCUCCAAGUCCUCCCAGAGGCUAGCACUGGCUUCUGCACAUGGGGGCAGCAGCACACCAGGUGAUGAGCUCUGAGUUGUAAGACCUCUGAGGACCAGCCUCAGCUGUGACAAGUAUCAGCUCUACCGCAUGUCACCAAGGCAGCCACGAUUCAGCAGAAGGGGAAAUGGAAAAUACUAACACAGAAAACAGGCGUAGCAAUAUAAAUAUCUUCCAAAGUUGAGGUCAA